RNAcentral lists this microRNA (21 nucleotides) under Rehmannia glutinosa. RNAcentral describes it as "rgl-miR7807a-3p". The record is from miRBase by way of RNAcentral. Lineage: Eukaryota; Viridiplantae; Streptophyta; Magnoliopsida; Lamiales; Orobanchaceae.
UUGGGAUUUGCAUACAGUUAC